Molecule: RNA transcript, 9572 nt
Organism: Caretta caretta (loggerhead turtle)
Lineage: Eukaryota; Metazoa; Chordata; Testudines; Cheloniidae
Gene name: macrophage mannose receptor 1
Source: RefSeq, a predicted model, not a curated record
UGGCAGGGCUGUGACUGCACAGGACUCCCAGCUGCGCAGUCUGGCCCCAUGGCCUGCAAGGCAACAUACAGCAACGUCGACCUUGUUGAACCAGGACAGGAGGACCCAUGGGGUUCUGAGCCAAGGGCGAAGGCAGCUGUCAGCGAUGUGUACACCGAAGAGGAGAGCCAAUAUGAGGCUGUUGACCCGGCUGUUGGAGCAAGGAGGAGGCAGAUGGAGCAGCAGGAUGCUCGGGCUCCAGAGUGGGAGUGGAGACGGGGCCAGAGGUGGAUUUUGGCCUGCGCGACUGUCCUGGGAGUCUCUGUGCUGCUGAACCUGCUGCUCCUCACACUUGGUGUUGUCCGAUACAUGGACAUGGCCAGUGCCCUUGAGAGAAUGCAAGUGGAGAACCAGCUGCUCCGGGAUGUGGCCUCCGGUUCCUUCCUGAUCUACAGUGAGUCACACCAGCUGUGCGUGGAUGUGACAGCUGGUGGCUCCCUGACAGCCACGCCCUGCACCCCUGGCGCCCUCAGCCAGCACUUCCAGUGGCUGUCUCAGGGCCAGCUGCUGAGCGUGGCCCACCAGCAGUGUGUAGCUGUGCCAAAGCGGCUCAGCCGGGUGGCCGUGCGCCUGGAGCCCUGCAAGGCGCACAGAGAGCUGCAGCACUGGGAGUGCCGGGCAAACGGACUGCUGGCCCUCGCCAGGGAGAACCUCUACUUCAACUAUGGCAACAAUCAGAAUCACGUGGUGAUGCUGUACUCAGGGGUUGGGCCCUGGAGCCGUUGGGUCAUCUAUGGGAGCCAUGAGGACCUCUGCUCCUGCUCCUGUCAUGUCUGCACCCCAUGUCGCAGGGGGUGGACUUUCUUCCAGGACAGUUGCUACUUCCACUCCCGCUCCCUGGGUACCUGGGAUGUUGCCAACCGCUCCUGUGCCUCUCUAGGUGCCCUGCUCCUCCAGGUGACCAGUCUUGCUGAGCAGGCUCACAUCAUGGCGUCCAUGAAAGCACCAUCCUCCUGGAUGGGCCUCACUGACCAGGCACUCGAGGGGGCUUGGAUGUGGAUGGACGGGACUCACUCAGCAGCCAAUGCCAGCUAUUGGCAGACAGGGGAGCCCAAUGGCAGGCAGAAGGAGAACUGUGCCCUGGUACGGCAGGAUGGGCACUGGUAUGACGCCCCAUGCACGGAGCAGCACCACUGGGUGUGUGAAGGGGAGCCCUGAGCCUGCUUGGACUAGCCACCGAGCAACCUGGCGAGGCCCUGGCCCUCCCUUUGCCCCUGCCCCACCCCUCUGCCCCCCCACUGUGACCUAAGUCCUCUUGAUGCCAACUAGCAGAGGGCACAGUGGUACUAGGGGUACAGAUCUCCUCUGAGUUCACUAAAAGAGGUCAUGUGAUGUCUGUAAUGAAACCCUGUGUCAUUCCAGUACAGUUAAUCAUUGCAAGCUAUAUGGACUAGUGAUAUUUAAGGAGUUGUGUAUCUGCACAAAUAUUAUGUUCUCAAGGUCUGUGUCUGUCUAGGUACUGGCCAUUAGCAAAGGGGAAAAGCAGGUUUUCUUUCAUGCAAGAAAUGUUGAUCUCUCUGCCUGUUUGCAUGUAAAUCAACUACUGUAUGGUUCACGAUGGGUAUCCACUCAGAAGUCUGAGCUGAAUGCUAAUGAAGAAUUGUGGAAUCUUCAAAGAGAGGAAAUUAACAGGAAGAGUUACACAGCAGGAGUGAUAAGAACAUAAGACCAACCAUACUGGAUCAGAUCAAUGGUGUAUCUAGCCUAGUAUCCCGUCUUCCGACUGGUCUAUGCCAGGUGCUUCAGAGGGAAUAAACAGAACAGACCUAAAGUGCUAUGUGUUCAGCAGAGCGGGUUCCAAGGUUGAACGAGGAAGUUGGGGGACCCUGUUCCUUUGGAAGCAGCAGGCCUGAGAAUUCUUUAGCAGGACACAGUUAAAUUCCUGUUCGACUGUCUUGGAAGCCAGAGCUUCUCUGUGAUAACACACUGUAUGAAAACAACAUUUGGCACCACUUCAAGAACUUUUGCUUUCAGUCCAAUUUUUUUCUCCAUCAUAGGACCGGCCCAAUCUUUACAUACACAGCAUGACCACUCCAACCCUUCUUCCUGCAUGAAGUUGUCAAGACUGCAAAAUAUUUCUUGUCCUGUUGUCUUUACUUGAAGUGAAUUGCAAAAUAAUAAAUCUUCUUGUAGCUUCCUGUCAUAGCAGUAUCUCACAUACACAAGUAGCUGAGCUGAAUUAGAUAUGUCUCUAGACUCAUUGUGUUGCAAGGUGUAUUUGGGACUAUAUUUAGCACGUUUGAUCAGCUGAACCUUUAUGUCGCUGGCAAUUUCAUCAAUGUGCUGUGCAACUGUUUCAUUGGACAAGUGGAGCUGCAAAUUUUUCACCAUGCAUAAUGCAACACAUUGUGACUGUGGCAGGAAGAAUGAGCAUUUUGCCCACUGUGUAUGGCUUUUUACAUUUAGCAAUUAGGUAGGGAACUUUGUAGGAAGCCAUUAGUGCUUUUGAUGGGGUUACUGUUUGUUUGUUCAUAAUAUCCCUUUCACCUUUAAAUUUUUGUUCUUUCCCCUGAAAACACUCUGCUGGCUUAUCAGCAUGCAUGGCAUGUUUCGGCUGCAGAUGCCUCUUCAGUUUUAUGGGUUUUAAGCUAUCUUGUGCAAGCCCUUCUGAGCAUAAAACACACUGUGGGUGCUCCACUUUUUCAAUCAUCAAGUAGGUGAAUCUGUAUUGUAUGUAUUCCUCUUGAUAUUUCCUCCAUUUGACUUUAUGCUGUGUCACGGCCUUAUCUGUACUACACUUCGCUGUUUGUGUGGCUUACUUCUCAAGAUCUCAGCUGGCACAGCGGUGCUUCACUUGAAUCAGUUUUGGCUUCUUUGUUUUUCACCUGAGGUGCAUGAAUGAGCCAAUGAGCAAUUGUAAGAUGAGCGAAAGCAAAAUUGCGAUUGUGGUCGAUGCUUACAAUUACAUGUGCACACUGUGUCAUAGCAGACAGAUUAACAUACAGAUGACAGUGACUUUGUAUGCUGCUAUGCAAGCUUAACAGAAAUCCGUCAAAAUGCAUAGCACCACUUAGAGCAGCGUUUCUCAAACUGGGGGUCCUGACCCAAAAAGGGGUUGCCAGCCAGUUGUAGGAGGGUCGUGAUAUUGCCACCCUUACUUCUGAGCUGCCUUCAGAGCUGGGUGGCCAGAGACUGUGUUAUCCGAUCCCACACAGAACAGUGCACCUUAUCCCCCAAUGGCAUAGACUGUGUUCCUUGGGCAAGCAGGUCUUCUUUAGAAGCAGACCGAUUAGGAAGAGCAGCUCAGGAUGAAUUGUGGCAUUGGCAAAAUUAUUAGGCUUGAGACAGAAGGGGGGGCUCCUAAGCUGGUUCCUUGUUUCCCCGGUAGUAUUCUCCCUUCCGCAAUAGAGCAUCAGCUUCCCCGUUUCAUUUUUCUGGGCAGUAGGUGAUUGCAACUUGAACCAUGAAAAGAACAAGGCCCACCUUAACUGCCUCAGGUUCAAUGCUCAGGCCUUACAGAGGUACUCAAAGUUCUUAUGAUUGGUGAACACCUGUACCAGGUGCCAAGCUCCCUCAAGGUGGUGAUGCCAUUCUUCAAAUGCACUUUUUAAUGUGAGCAGCUAUUUCAUAGUUCAUUUUGGUUGGGGUAACUUGGAGAGUAGAAUGCACAGGGAUGCAGAACUGACUGAUGUCUCAGUCGCUACCCCAAGGGCCACAUUGGACACAUUUGAUUGCACUAUAAAUAGGCGAGGUGUAUUGCUGAAUGAAGCCCUUGGUGAGGUUUUCCUGGAUAUACACAUGUAAUGCCUCCAGUUCUGGUUCAGACAUGGUGUAUAUCCAUCCGUAGGACACCUUUGCUCUGGGUUGUAGGUCUAUUGGACAACUUUAGUCCCUGUGUGGGGGUAAUGAAUCCGUGUUUUUCUUUCCAGAUACAUCCAGGUAGUCUCAGUACUUGUCAGGAGGACUGAAGUUCUGGCCUGGAGCCCCUCCUGACUGGUUAGCCCCUACCAUCUGGGGUUUCACUUCCCAGGGUCUUUUCCAAUCCUGGGGUCCUGGAUGUAGGCCACUUGGGGCUUGGUCACGUUGUUGAAGGCAUGCUUUCUGAUAGAAUUCAGAGCAGAAGCUAAUGCUUCUCUGCUACCAGGAGUCACGUUGCCCCAACCAAGAAAUGCCAGGAAUGAUCAGGAAGAAUGGAGAGUGGAUCAUAUCAAUGCAUAUUAUUGCCCUUCCACUAUGGUCUCUAAUGGGAUGGUCUCGAGUCACUGAUCACGAAGAUAGGAGUGACCCAUCAGUCGCCUCCACCAGGUCCAGUGUGAGUUUUGGCCAGAGAGGGAUCUGGAGGGUUUGGGCUGCCUUAGCAUCUAUAAAGUUGGCAGCAGCUAUCACAGCUAGCUGUGUGGGGGAUCUGCUAUGCCUGCCCCAAGACCCGCAACCCCAGCAGUAACUGGAAAUGUGGAGAGACACCUGCUUCCCAGGUUGGGUUCUACUUGAGGGUGAGGGAGAGGUUCUGGAGCUUGGAGCUCUGAUGGUGUCCAGGCUAUACCCCCCAGCUCCCUCCCAUGGAGGCCUGGGGUCAGGCCCCCCUUUCCCACGGGGGGGGGGUUGCAUAGGGCACCACAAUGUCAAAGGGUGGCCCUGCUACAGGCUUUGGCAUAGAGGGCAGGUGUGGGGACAUUGGGCGUUUCCCCCUGCUCACACAGCCAAGAGUCAAUGCACAGGGGGAGUUCAAUAAAGGCGCCUAGGUGUAUGGGGUUUUCAGUGCGGUUUAGAUCAUCUUUCACCUCCUCAUUGAGUCCCUACCGGAACUGAUACAGUUGGGCUGCCUCAUUCCAUUCCAUAUCAGCCACAGGCCAUUGGAAGUGAGUGGUGUAGGAGGCGAAACUUCCAGAGGGCAGCCCCUGUAGAGUGGAUGUGAUGUGGGUCAUCGAAGAUGGUCACAAAGGCUUGGAGGAAGGUGUCCCAGUCAGAGAGCACUGGAUUGUUCUGCUCCAAUGGGGGAGGCCCAAUCAAGCCCUUUUCUGGAGAGUAGGCUGACUACUAGCCCCACCUUAGUCCUGUGUGUGGGGUACGUUCGGGGGUGGAGCAGGAACAGCAGCCUGCAUUGGUUCAGGAACGCUUGAAAUUUCCUUCGAUGCCCCUCGAAGCAUUUGGGCAGUGACACUGCAGGAGCUGCUGCAGGUGAUGGUGCUCUGUUCUGGCGUGUAGUGUUGCUGCUUCUCCCCGUGAGCAUGCUCGGUGCUCUCACAGGGUCUGUCCUUCGGCAGUGAGCUGCGCCACCUGGGCCUACGACCAGGUUAACCGCUCGUGCUGUGUCUGUGCUUUGAGUGCACCCAGGAUGGCUUGGGUCUGUAGUGCCAGGCACUCUGCCUGCAAACAGAUGACUUGGUCUUGCAGGUUCUGGGCCCUAGAGGAGCCACUGGUCAUAUAGGACAGCCCGCCCACUCCAUCGUCUGUGGAGGGGUUGGAUAUGUUUGGGAGGGGCCAGGGUUGGUCUGAGCAAGCAGUCAGGGCUGAGCCAUGGGCAGCCUGUGUACAGGUGUGAUGGGUUCAGUCACAGAGACCACCUUGGCACUGUCACCUGAUAUGCUGAGAUUACCUCUGAGCCCGUUUUCCCGGCCAGCUUGGGACUCCAGAACCCUGCCUUGUUGAGCCAGACAUGCUAGCCUGCUGCAACACAGACCCAGGUCUGGUCCACAUUCCCAAAGCUGCAGACUUUCACCAAAAACUGCUCAGCAGGUCACUUAUCUCCAGCACCCAGACACCCAGUUCCCAAUGGGAUCCAAAUCCCAAAUAAAUCCGUUUUACUCUGUAUAAAGCUUAUACAGGGUAAAUUUAUAAAUAGUCUGCCCUCUAUAACACUGAUAGAGAGAUAUGCACAGCUGUUUGCUCUCCCCGGUAUUAAUCACUUACUCUGGGUUUACUAAUAAACAAGUGAUUUUAUUCAGUAUAAGAAGUAGGAUUUAAGUGAUUUCAAGUAAUAACAGACAGAACAAAGUAAGUUAUCAAGAAAAAUAAAACAAAACACGCAAGUCUUAGCCUAAUACAUUAAGAAACUGAAUACAGGUAAAUCUCACCCUCAGAGAUGUUCCAAUAAGCUUCUUUUACAGACUGGACUCCUUCCUAGUCUAGGCCCAAUCCUUCCCCCAGGUGCAGACCUUGUUAGUUCCAGCUCAGGAUUAGGGGAUUUCUCAUGACUGGCAGCCCCUUUUGUUCUGUUCCACCCCCUUUUAUAGCUUUGGCACAAGGCAGGAAUCUUUUGUCUCUCUGGGUUUCCACCCUUCCUGCUAAAUGGAAAAGCAUCAGGUUUCAGAUGAAUUCCAGUACAGGUGACAUGAUCACAUCACUGUAAGACCUCAUUCUCCAUUCUUUCAGGGGUGGCCUGCACGUACCCAGGAAGCUUUGCAAGUAAACAGAGCCAUUCACAACCAGUUGUUCCAGUUGAUGGCAGCCAUCAAGAUUCCAAGCCACCAUUAAUGGCCUACACUUUGCAUAGUUACAAUAGGACUUCAGAGUAAUACUUCUAUUUCUAGCUUCAGAUACAAGAAUGAUACAUUCAUACACAUAGGAUGAAAACAAUCAGUAGAUUAUAAGCUUUGUAAUGAUACCUUACAAGAGACCUUUUGCAUAAAGCAUAUUCCUGUUACAUUAUAUUUACACUCAUAAGCAUAUUUCCCCCAAAAAUAUGAAAUGCAACAUCACAACAGGGGUCAGCUGUUAAGUUGCAGUGAGGAGAUGAGUAGUGGGGUCAGGAGCCAGCUGGGUCAAAACGCCAGGAAGUCAGGGUCAGGCCCCAAGUUGCAGGCGGCAGAUGAAUAGCAGAGCCAGGAUUAAGCCAGGUCAGAAAGUCGGGGUCAGGUGCUAGGCUAUAGACAGCAAGCAAAUACAAAGUCAGGGACAAAGCAGGGUCAGAAGUCGGAGUCUAGGGCCUACAGCAAGCACAGCCUGUGUGGUUGCUUAGACAGCUCCCCAUGAUGGUUUCCUGGUUUAAAUACUAGCAUCAGCCAAUGCUUGGGCUGUGAGGGGCCGCCACUCAGGCCCUGCUGGGCAUUACUUCCUGCAGAGCCUAGUUUCAUAGGGUCCUCCAGCAGAAACCCAGCAGAAGCAUCAGCAGCCCAGAACCACAUAGUCCUAUAAUCUAAUCACACAGAGUCUCACACCUAUCCCCAGCCCCAGCUCCACCACCCCACGGCCAUCCUCUGUCUAUCCCUCCCCCAGUUCUCCUGCUAAAGCUGUUGUGACUUUCCCGUGGAGGGAGCCGGGGGAUGCAACUGGGCUGCAAUUCAGCAAACAUGAGCACCCUACCCCUGGUUGGGGCAGCUGGAGCUCAGUGCUAUUCCUGGCUGCAGUGUGGAGGAAGAUGGGCGGUUAAUGCGCCAUGCAGAAUAGGGGUGGGGUGCUCACUUUUCUGUUGCAUGUCACAGACUCCACGAGAGCCACCAACACCCAUUUAAAAAUCCAGAGUUUGGUAUAUCCCACACUCCGCCUCUGCCAAGCUCUGCCUACAUGAGAUGCUGCUCCCAGCAGGUUGUGCCGAUAUUGGUUCUGUCAUGUCAUGCUCAGUUGGGGCUCCCUGUGGCCGGGCUGACAUUAGGCCUUGCAGGGCUCUGCACAGGCCCCAGGGUCUUGCAGUGACAGCAGGAUCUCAGCUGUCCUUUAAAAACAUGUGUCUAGCCCUUGUGGUUCACUACUCUGGGUCAGCCACUCUUGUCAGGCCUGCCAUGCUCAGUGUACCCUGUGACGGGUUGUCCCCCCUUCCGCAGUGCCACUUUAUGUACUGGGGUUCCACUGAGCCCACCUGUUCCACCAGACUGGGCUCCCUCACCCUGUCCUGCUGCACACACACACAGGUAGGGACACACCCAGCUGCAGAAUGACACCAAUACUGAAAUCAGUGCUGCAUAGGAAGGCUUUCAGCUAGAGAAUUGCCCAGCACUCAAGUGCACACUCUCUCUGGAGUGUAAACCCAAAAUUAUAUUGUCUUGCACUGCACAGAAAUCUAUACAUCAUCAGCUCAUGAAAUCUGCCCCCUCCCUCAGUGUGGAGGAAGAUACGUACAGCUUUUUGCCCCCCCCAGUUUGAAUUACACAAACUAGUUUUGGAAUAAACAAAAACAAGUUUAUUAACUACAAAAGGUAGAUUUUAAGUGUUUAUAGGGGACAGCAAACAGAUCAAAGCAGAUUCCUGAGCAAAUAAAACAAAACACACAAACUAAGCUUAAUACACAAAAUUAACUGGUUAAUAGUAGAAAAUUCUCACUCCAAGUGUUGUUUCAAGCAGGUUGCAGAGUUUCUUGAACGUAAACUGCACAGUUUGCAGCUUAAAUCUCCACGUAUUCCUUUCAUAGGCUAGAUCUUUCUCACCUGGGCUCAGCCCCUCCCAUCCAGUUUAGUUCCUUUGUUUCUUCAGGUGUUUUCAGCAGUCUUCCUUCUGGGGCAGGGAGGCAGUGGAGAAGAAUUACCUCACUACCCUGCCUUAAAUAGGAUUUACAUAUAGCAGGAAUCCUUUGUUUCCCAGUUUGACUCCCACCCCCUCUUGAUGGAAAAACACUAGAAGUCCAAGAUGGUGUCCAGUACCAGGUGACAUGAUCACCAGACCCUGCAGUGUCAAAGCAGCAUCCCAGGAAACUUCUCAGGAAGGAGGGAGAUUAGCAUCUUCAAAUACCUAUUGUUCCCCCAAUGGCCCAUCCAAGCUGUUUGCAUACUGUCUGGUGAGCAUUCCCCAGGUGAAAACACAGUUGUAAUUGUUACAUAGUCAAUAUUCCUAACUUCAGAUAUAAAAAUGAUACAGGUAUACAAAUUGGAUAAUCACAUUCAGUAAAUCAUAAAGUUUCCAAUGAUACCUCACAUGACCAAUCUUGCAUAGAACAUAUUUUAGUUAUGCCAUAUUCAUAUCAUAAGCAUAUCUCUAUGAAGAAUAUGGGGCGUAGCGUCAAACACCCCACACACUAGGGUUAUUGUCUGUAUCUAAAAGGUGUCAUGUAACACGUCACUGGUAUAUGAAUAACUCACUGAUCAUUAAUAUUCAUGCACGAUGUAUGUACGGUUAACCCACAAAGGAUUAUACAGAUGUGCUGGAGUCAUGACUAAAAUGGGUUGAAACCAGGCAUGUCAGGAGUUAACAGGGUUGUUCCAGACAAAGGGCUGCAGCUUCGCCUGCUUGAAUGUGUCUCCUAUGUAAAUGGAGCAAGGUGGGACCAAAGACAAAGAAAAGAACAUUUGCAGGACAGGCAAACAAAGCCAUCAGGAGAGCAAGUGGGGAACAAGUGAUCACUUAACAAUCUCACUGGGGGAUGGAGACUGCACCCCAGGAAGCCUUCCUGCCUGAACUUGGAGAGAGAGAGACUUUCCAAAGGUUUUCCAGCCUAUAAAGAGAUGGGCAGAGAACCCUUAAGUUAUGCUUCAGCUGUGGCGACAAGGAAAAGCUGCUCCUUGAACUCUGUGGGGCUCAUGACUGAGAUCUAGUCAGCCACUGGUGGGAAAGGAAGAUCGGUGAGGAACCUGCCUUGCUAAGUUAAGUCUUAGCCAUUACAAAGCGUAUUUGUACUUUGGUUGUUCAUAACGUGUCCUGUCUUUAUUCCUUAGACUUGAACACAC